Molecule: ribosomal RNA, 238 nt
Filed under: uncultured bacterium
Lineage: Bacteria
Description: partial 16S ribosomal RNA
Rfam family: Bacterial small subunit ribosomal RNA
Source: RNAcentral
CGGCGGACGGGUGAGUAACGCGUGGGUAACCUGCCUCAUACAGGGGGAUAACAGUUAGAAAUGACUGCUAAUACCGCAUAAGACCACGGUACCGCAUGGUACAGUGGUAAAAACUCCGGUGGUAUGAGAUGGACCCGCGUCUGAUUAGGUAGUUGGUGGGGUAACGGCCUACCAAGCCGACGAUCAGUAGCCGACCUGAGAGGGUGACCGGCCACAUUGGGACCGAGACACGGCCCAG